GUGGGUAUAGCUCAGUGGUAGAGAGCAUGCUUAGCAUGCAUGAGGUCUUGGGUUCAAUUCCCAGUACUUCCA
RNAcentral lists this transfer RNA (72 nucleotides) under Camelus bactrianus (Bactrian camel). It matches the Rfam family "tRNA". Rfam says of the family: Transfer RNA (tRNA) molecules are approximately 80 nucleotides in length. RNAcentral also lists the same sequence under 2 other names. Lineage: Eukaryota; Metazoa; Chordata; Mammalia; Artiodactyla; Camelidae. The record is from Rfam by way of RNAcentral.